CUGUUCCACGCUGGAACAGGUUCCAUUUUUAAAAGUGGAUUCAAAGGGAAUAUGGUGCAAGCCCAUAACUGCCCCCGCAACUGUAAACCGGUAGCGGCCUUCAGGUUUUAUAACAGCCACUGACUUUGUUUUCAGGUCGGGAAGGUGAAGGCUAGAGCGAUGACCGGUAAGUCAGGAGACCUGCCUGUACCCGUCACUUUCG
Molecule: non-coding RNA, 202 nt
Filed under: Candidatus Tokpelaia
Lineage: Bacteria; Pseudomonadati; Pseudomonadota; Alphaproteobacteria; Hyphomicrobiales
Also listed under: 1 other name
Source: RNAcentral